UCAGGCCUAACACAUGCAAGUCGUACGAGAGUUUUUAACUCUAGUGGCGGACGGGUGAGUAACACGUGAGAAUUUGCCUUUAGGAGGGGGACAACAAUUGGAAACGAAUGCUAAUACCCCAUAUGCUUUAGAGUGAAAUGGAUUUUAUCCGCCUAGAGAGAAGCUCGCGGCUGAUUAGCUUGUUGGUAAGGUAAGAGCUUACCAAGGCGACGAUCAGUAUCUGGUUUGAGAGGAGGAUCAGACACACUGGAACUGAGACACGGUCCAGACUCCUACGGGAGGCAGCAGUGGGGAAUUUUCCGCAAAGGGCGAAAGCCUGACGGAGCAA
This 328-nucleotide ribosomal RNA is filed under the name uncultured bacterium. RNAcentral describes it as "bacterial SSU rRNA". It matches the Rfam family "Bacterial small subunit ribosomal RNA", at positions 46 to 392 of the family's 1533-position model. The record is from RNAcentral.